GGCCCAAUAGCACAGUGGUUAGUGUGCCUGCUUCAAAUUCGCACGGUAAAUCGUUGAUUGUAAGCAGGAGGACCCUCGUUCGAUCCGAGGUUGGGUCA
This is a non-coding RNA of Mycena leptocephala, 98 nucleotides long. The record is from the annotation of a GenBank genome assembly. NCBI's taxonomy places the organism in Eukaryota, Fungi, Basidiomycota, Agaricomycetes, Agaricales, Mycenaceae.